GGGUCAGUAGGUUGGUCGUGCCACCGGUACGUACUGGUCUCACUGAUUCCUCAUUCCUGAAGAACCGUAAUGCCAUUAAUUUGGUGUUGCGGGGAAACAGGACUGUUACUUUGAAAAAAUUAGAGUGUUUAAAGCAAGCUAACGCUUGAAUACAUUAGCAUGGAAUAAUGAAAUAGGACGAUCGAUGCUAUUUUGUUGGUUUCUAGGAUUGACGUA
Molecule: ribosomal RNA, 216 nt
Filed under: Glomeromycotina sp.
Lineage: Eukaryota; Fungi; Glomeromycota
Description: partial small subunit ribosomal RNA
Rfam family: Eukaryotic small subunit ribosomal RNA (bases 40-216)
Source: RNAcentral